Molecule: ribosomal RNA, 568 nt
Filed under: Clostridioides difficile
Lineage: Bacteria; Bacillati; Bacillota; Clostridia; Peptostreptococcales; Peptostreptococcaceae
Description: bacterial LSU rRNA
Rfam family: Bacterial large subunit ribosomal RNA
Source: RNAcentral
GCCUCCCAAAAGGUAACGGAGGCGCUCAAAGGUUCUCUCAGUACGGUCGGAAAUCGUACGUAGAGUGUAAAGGCAAAAGAGAGCUUGAUUGCAAGACAUACAGGUCGAGCAAGGAUGAAAAUCGGACUUAGUGAUCCGGUGGUUCUGCGUGGAAGGGCCAUCGCUCAACGGAUAAAAGCUACCCUGGGGAUAACAGGCUUAUCUCCCCAAAGAGUCCACAUCGACGGGGAGGUUUGGCACCUCGAUGUCGGCUCAUCACAUCCUGGGGCUGUAGUAGGUCCCAAGGGUUGGGCUGUUCGCCCAUUAAAGUGGUACGCGAGCUGGGUUCAGAACGUCGUGAGACAGUUCGGUCCCUAUCCGUCGCAGGCGUAGGAAAUUUGAGAAGACCUGUCCUUAGUACGAGAGGACCGGGAUGGACGUACCUCUGGUGUACCAGUUGUUCUGCCAAGGGCAUGGCUGGGUAGCUAUGUACGGAAUGGAUAAGCGCUGAAAGCAUCUAAGCGCGAAGCCAACUUCAAGAUAAGAUUUCCCACCGCAAGGGUAAGACCCCAGAAAGACUAUCUGGUUG